UUAAGAAAAGAUAGACUAUAUUUAAGUCAUUAGACUCAUAAUCUGAAAAUAAAUUUUUAAUUUUCUUUUUA
Molecule: transfer RNA, 71 nt
Filed under: Apocrypta bakeri
Lineage: Eukaryota; Metazoa; Arthropoda; Insecta; Hymenoptera; Pteromalidae
Description: tRNA-Met
Rfam family: tRNA
About the family: Transfer RNA (tRNA) molecules are approximately 80 nucleotides in length.
Source: RNAcentral